UGUGUCUGGGCCUUAAAAGGUAAGGUUGAUGAAUACUGUGUGAUAAGGUUGAAAGCUCAGGAAAAAAGAAAUAACUAGACCUUGAGUUGGGAUUGUUUGUCCAGGUCAAGAAUGAAUAUUGCUGGUUUUCAAGUCGCAAAAAUGUUUCUGAGCCUCCUCCAUCUGCUGAUUC
Molecule: long non-coding RNA, 172 nt
Organism: Sebastes umbrosus (honeycomb rockfish)
Lineage: Eukaryota; Metazoa; Chordata; Actinopteri; Perciformes; Sebastidae
Exons: 3
Source: RefSeq, a predicted model, not a curated record